UGGGGAAUAUUGGACAAUGGGCGAAAGCCUGAUCCAGCAAUGCCGCGUGAGUGAAGAAGGUCUUCGGAUUGUAAAGCUCUUUCACGGGUGAAGAUAAUGACGGUAACCCGAGAAGAAGCCCCGGCUAACUUCGUGCCAGCAGCCGCGGUAAUACGAAGGGGGCUAGCGUUGUUCGGAAUUACUGGGCGUAAAGGGCGCGUAGGCGGUCUGUCAAGUUAGGUGUGAAAGCCCUGGGCUCAACCCAGGAACUGCAUUUAAGACUGGCAGGCUAGAGAUCUAGAGGGGAUAGUGGAAUUCCAAGUGUAGAGGUGAAAUUCGUAGAUAUUUGGAGGAACACCAGUGGCGAAGGCGACUAUCUGGCUAGAAUCUGACGCUGAGGCGCGAUAGCGUGGGGAGCAAACA
This 402-nucleotide ribosomal RNA is filed under the name uncultured prokaryote. RNAcentral describes it as "bacterial SSU rRNA". It matches the Rfam family "Bacterial small subunit ribosomal RNA", at positions 355 to 774 of the family's 1533-position model. The record is from RNAcentral.